RNAcentral lists this ribosomal RNA (402 nucleotides) under uncultured bacterium. Its description in RNAcentral is "bacterial SSU rRNA". It matches the Rfam family "Bacterial small subunit ribosomal RNA", at positions 976 to 1378 of the family's 1533-position model. The record is from RNAcentral.
AGGGCUUGACAUCCUACUAACGAGGCGGAAACGCAUUAGGUGCCCUUCGGGGAAAGUAGAGACAGGUGGUGCAUGGUUGUCGUCAGCUCGUGUCGUGAGAUGUAGGGUUAAGUCCCCCAACGAGCGCAACCCCUAUGGUUAGUUGCUACGCAAGAGCACUCUAGCCAGACUGCCGUUGACAAAACGGAGGAAGGUGGGGACGACGUCAAAUCAUCAUGCCCCUUAUGUCCUGGGCUUCACACGUAAUACAAUGGUGGCGCAACAGAGGGGUGCAAAGCCGCGAGGCAGAGCAAAUCCCUAAAAGCCAUCCCAGUUCGGAUUGCAGGCUGCAACCCGCCUGCAUGAAGUUGGAAUUGCUAGUAAUCGCGGAUCAGCAUGCCGCGGUGAAUACGUUCCCGGGGA